GCUGGGCAUGGUGGUGUGUGCCUGCAGUCCCAACUACUUGGGAGGCUGAGGUGGGAGGAUCACUUGAGCCUGGGAAGUCGAGGGUUGCAUUGAGCUGUGAUUGCACCACUGUACUCUGGCCUGGGCAACGGGAGUGAAACCCUGUCUCAAAAAAAAAAAGUGCUGCUCAGGCAGGAGUGUAGUGGUGUGAUCUCAGCUCACUGCAACCUCCGCCUCCCAGGUUCAAGCGAUUUUCCUGCCUCA
RNAcentral lists this small RNA (243 nucleotides) under Saimiri boliviensis boliviensis (Bolivian squirrel monkey). RNAcentral's name for it is "Metazoan signal recognition particle RNA (ENSSBOG00000001854.1)". Lineage: Eukaryota; Metazoa; Chordata; Mammalia; Primates; Cebidae. The record is from RNAcentral.